This 788-nucleotide ribosomal RNA is filed under the name uncultured bacterium. RNAcentral describes it as "bacterial SSU rRNA". It matches the Rfam family "Bacterial small subunit ribosomal RNA", at positions 8 to 796 of the family's 1533-position model. The record is from RNAcentral.
AGAGUUUGAUCAUGGCUCAGGACGAACGCUGGCGGCGUGCUUAACACAUGCAAGUCUAGGAGAAAGAGAAUCUUCGGAGUCUCGAGUAAACUGGCGUAAGGGUGAGUAACACGUAGAUAACCUGCCCUGGAGUGGGGGAUAACAUUGGGAAACCGGUGCUAAUACCGCAUGACAUCUUUCAAAUGCAUGUUUGAAAGAUUAAAGAUUUAUCGCUUCAGGAUGGAUCUGCGUUCUAUUAGUUAGUUGGCAGGGUAACGGCCUACCAAGACUACGAUGGAUAGCUGGUCUGAGAGGAUGAUCAGCCACACUGGCACUGAGACACGGGCCAGACUCCUACGGGAGGCAGCAGUGAGGAAUAUUGGGCAAUGGGCGCAAGCCUGACCCAGCAACGCCGCGUGAGUGAUGACGCAUUGAGGUGUGUAAAGCUCUGUUAGGAGGGAAGAAUUCCCAUUUUUUGGGGUUGACGGUACCUCCAAAGAAAGCUCCGGCUAACUCCGUGCCAGCAGCCGCGGUAACACGGGGGGAGCAAGCGUUGUCCGGAUUUACUGGGCGUAAAGAGCGUGUAGGCGGGAUAGUCAGUCAGGGGUGAAAUCUCUCGGCUUAACCGAGAACCUGCUCUUGAUACUGCUAUUCUUGAGUGCGGAAGAGGGAAGUGGAAUUCCUGGUGUAGCGGUGAAAUGCGUAGAUAUCAGGAAGAACACCAGUAGCGUAGGCGGCUUCCUGGUCCGUAACUGACGCUGAGACGCGAAAGCGUGGGUAGCAAACAGGAUUAGAUACCCUAGUAGUCC